This 1000-nucleotide long non-coding RNA is filed under the name Struthio camelus australis. RNAcentral's name for it is "lncRNA (ENSSCUG00000005029.1)". Lineage: Eukaryota; Metazoa; Chordata; Aves; Struthioniformes; Struthionidae. The record is from RNAcentral.
AUAAAACCCCACCCGUCUUGGAUCUCCAUUGUUUCUCUAAUGUGAAAUGUCAUUAUUGAGAUGCUCCACUGAAGUUUCCAGGUAAUGCUUAGAUUUGACCAUACAAUAGGAGAUAUAUUCAAUGUACUUUUGUUACACAAUGCAAAAAAUGAGGAGCUAAUUAAGUUAAUAUCAUUAUCAUUAAGAGGUGGCUUUACAUUAGUAAAUCAAGAAGCAUUCUGCCUUAAAAAGAGAGGAACUUCCUUGAAUUCUUUAGUUGCCCCGUGGGAAGUUUAGCCAGUUAUACUCCUCUGAUAUGUGCUGUGUACUUAUCUCUUCAUGUCCAGGACAUGGGGGAAGGAGAAGGACAGAGCCAUGGCAUUCUCUUUGCAAUAUGAGGAGAACCAAAGCAGAGAAUUGGGUAGAUCCUGUGCUCCUGACUGCAGCCUGCCUGGUCCUGACGUGGGCAACAUAAAUUAGGAAAGCUCCUUAUUUUGGAUCCGUCAUUCACUGCAGUCACACAAUGAUUAUUUCUUCCUCCUGUAUAGAAGAACUUAAGGACUUCACCUCAUCAUGAUUCCUCAGCACUCCAAAGGAGAUAAAGGUGGCAGCAGCCUCCAGGAGAAGAGCAGUAACAAGUCACCAGAGAACAGUAAGGACUUCCAUGAUCACAGCAGUUUGCAAUGUGGAUACCUUUUCAUGGCCUGAACAACGUCAAUCAAGCCGCUGGAGUGACCAUUCUGAUGAGGAAGACAGCCAGCUUGCUACAGACUCUCCUGGGCCCAGUUGUAAGCUAAGCAGGUUCAAUGUUGUUGAACUCCUCCGUGUUCAUCAUCAGCUGACCAACACCUUUGAGCUGCCACACGGCCGAGACCACGGGAAUGGUCCCUUACAACCAAGCGCAUCCUGUCUCUGACCACAGAAAACUGCGGAUCUCUUACUGGAAGGUAUAAAAACUUCACUGUCAAUAUAAAUAUUCCAACUAUUUAAUUAUACCCCACUUAGUGUUUAUGGGAUCAGC